Molecule: Y RNA, 101 nt
Filed under: Microcebus murinus (gray mouse lemur)
Lineage: Eukaryota; Metazoa; Chordata; Mammalia; Primates; Cheirogaleidae
Description: Y RNA (ENSMICG00000047623.1)
Rfam family: Y RNA
About the family: Y RNAs are components of the Ro ribonucleoprotein particle (Ro RNP), in association with Ro60 and La proteins. The Y RNAs and Ro60 and La proteins are well conserved, but the function of the Ro RNP is not known.
Source: Rfam by way of RNAcentral
GGUUGGUCUGAGUGCAGUGGUGUUCACAACUAACUGAUCACAACCAGUUACAGAUUCCUUUGUUCUUUCCCCACUCCCUCUGCUUCACUUGACCAGCUAGA